UACGGGGGGAGCAAGCGUUGUUCGGAUUUACUGGGCGUAAAGGGCGCGUAGGCGGCGCAACAAGUCACUUGUGAAAUCUCCGGGCUUAACUCGGAACGGUCAAGUGAUACUGUUGUGCUAGAGUGCGGAAGGGGCAACUGGAAUUCUCGGUGUAGCGGUGAAAUGCGUAGAUAUCGAGAGGAACACCUGCGGCGAAGGCGGGUUGCUGGGCCGACACUGACGCUGAUGCGCGAAAGCCAGGGGAGCGAACAGG
This 253-nucleotide ribosomal RNA is filed under the name uncultured bacterium. Its description in RNAcentral is "partial 16S ribosomal RNA". It matches the Rfam family "Bacterial small subunit ribosomal RNA", at positions 524 to 776 of the family's 1533-position model. The record is from RNAcentral.